AAGUAAAAUCGCCGAAAUGAGAGUG
RNAcentral lists this non-coding RNA (25 nucleotides) under Rattus norvegicus (Norway rat). The record is from RNAcentral. Lineage: Eukaryota; Metazoa; Chordata; Mammalia; Rodentia; Muridae.